This 2422-nucleotide long non-coding RNA is filed under the name Canis lupus familiaris (dog). RNAcentral's name for it is "lncRNA (ENSCAFG00040024668.1)". The record is from RNAcentral. Lineage: Eukaryota; Metazoa; Chordata; Mammalia; Carnivora; Canidae.
AUAGUGCACGCGCGUGAUGAAAAAGAAAUUUAAACAGGACAAAAGGACGCACAUGCAGGCAGGUAUUUGAAUAUAUCCUCCUGGGUGUCUUCUCUAAAUCUAGAGUGUCUGAGCUCUGGGACCUCUGGGCUCAGAAAGACCCUCACGGGUGCAUGUGGCCACAGACCCGGGAGGAUCAUUUCCUGGACCAUCCGCGUGCACCGACAGUUCGUCCCUGGGCCGUUUCUCGCCGCCUCUGCCCAGCAGCAGUUGGCCUCGCGGUUCCCGGGAGAGCCGCCACUUUUCCUGCCACGUUCGUUGGAGUCGAGCGUGGGCAGCCUCUGUAACUUCCCAGGUGAGGGCUCCUGGUAUCAAACGCUCAUUACUGACUACCCUGACGGCUAAUGUGGGACGAGGCAUAUGGGGAAGAGGAGGGCAGCUCCAUUUUUCUUUUUUCAUUUCCUCCGAUUCCAUUCACAUUGAACAUUACGAAUGGUUCAUAAAAUGCAGUUUGCGACUGUGAUAUGGGGACGGAUUGGUCCCAAUAAAUGUCACAAGAUAUAAGACAAAAAAGUACCCUGCAACUGUCUGCGGGACUGUAUUGCUCUCGGUUUUGGCUACGGAUGCACUAAAAUAACCUGUUAACACACACCAAAGUGCAUCCCUAUAAUAACCUCCUCAAUCAUUUAUUAAAAGUCGUGUCAAGCAGGCCGGUAUAAUUCAUUUCUAUGCAAAUACAUCAAUGUCAGGCCAUUAGUGUAUUGCUCAGGUUUUUAUUAAAGUGCAUUCUUUUUAAUUCAGCCCCGUAAAAUACGAGCCCCAUUGCUCAAGAAUUAUAGCAACUAUUAGAGUAACAUAUGGGCAACAUGCACUCAGAAAAUAAAAACCAACAGAUAAAGUGGCAGGGUCACAUCGCAGGAGCAAACACUUAACAAAAUGGCAGUGGAGGUAAUAGAUUUUUUCUCCCAGGGCUUUUGGCGAAAGGGUGUCAUGGGCACCCGCGCCUCGGGAGAGGCAAAAGGCUCGAUCUCCCUGGGUGCUGUGCGAACCCCGGAACCAGCCCCGGGUAGAUCCCCUCAGAGUUGGGAGAGGGAAGGCUUCCAGAGCUCUGCUCCCUACCUGGCCUCCCUCUUUUGGCUCCAGGAUCUCAACACUCACCCGAAAGAAAUGCCAAGCUUCCACUCUGCGGAAACCUAGGUGCCCCGUGCAGGCUCCACCCCGCACCCCCGCCGCGUGUUCCUGGGUAGAACGCUUUGCCGAAAAUUUUGCUAAAGCAGGGAAAGCGCGGGGCGGAUGCGGAGGGCGCAGGGCGCAGGGCGCAGGGCGCGGGCCGUGGUGGUGCCCGGCGGCCCCUGAGCCAACGCCCGGCGUGCGGUGGGGAAGGGGCAAGGUGGGCCCACACGGAUCCGAAACAGCAGCUGACCAAUCAAUCCACUGGAGGAGCCAGCAGCAUCGAAUUCAGUUUUUUUUUUUUUUAAUUGCCAUUGGGACCAUCAAUUUCCAGAGGCCUAAAAAUAAACCUCAAAUCCAAAACACAACACAGCCCUCACAGAAAAAUAGAAAAGGGGGGGAAAAAAACUAAGAACAAUCUCCCGGAUUUAAUGAGAGAGUCGCCCACAUCCUCAUCACCCCAGCAUGGUAAUUGAGCAGAUCUAUUAACUUGUUACACUAGAUUUGUUUAAAGAGACUAUUACACAGUCAUUUAAUCAAUUUGUUACACUGGAGGUCCUGACUUAUGAGACACUUGCCUUAUGAUUCCUUAAUGACUGAAUUAAUUUGUUUUAAUAAAACCAACAUUGUGUACAAGUACAUUUCUAGAAAUGUAAUUUUGGAGACAGAACAGUCCAAUGCUUCAUCUGAUUAGGUCCUUUCUAUGGUUUAUCAAAGUCUGUAGUUUCUGACAUAGCUGCUUGUAUGGAGUAUUUUUCUUUUUUAUAGCGCCAUUAAUUUAAUAUGGAUCAUUAGUUCUUUAUACACAUGCAUGUUCUGACAAAUGUACCCAAUGAAUAAUGCAGCUAAUGUGCUUAGGCCCAAAUGCAUCACAUCAUAAACAGAGACCUCUGCAAAAUAACAACAGUGAAAUAAAACACCCCCUCUGGUCUCCGUGGUCAUCAUUAGAGUAACAUUUUGAGUUACAUUUAAGUCUUGUUUUGCAGAGCAAGACAUGUUUGGCCCCAAGAUUCUAUCAACAUAGCCAACUGGGUCUAACUAUGUAGUGAACACAAAUAGAUUUAUGGUGAAUUAAGGUUGUCUUGAGAGCAGAUGCAGGACAAGAAAAUCGGUUUUGCUCUUGAUGGAAACUGACGUGUGUAGAAUAAAAUGUAAAUAAACAGAAAGUCCCCAAGAAAAGGGACUUGAUGUUAUUGAUUAUGUAAAAUAAUUAGAACAUUACAAAUGAUAAUGCACUACAAAUAGUUGGCAUUUAUGUCUAGAUUUUUUGCAG